CGUGGAAGUAGGGCACCGUCCAGUCCUGCUUGGGCUUCGCCGCGGCCAUGAUCCUGCGCACCUGGUUGGGCAGCCAGCACACGGCCAGCGUGGCCACGAUGAGCCCUGCGCAUGGAAAGAGCGACAAGGAGCGUGGGUGGGCAGCGGGGCCACAGAGAAACAUAACACAUCAAAUAUUUAGCAUCACUUAUGCACUUACUUGUUAGGAAAUAGUACCGAUUCUUCAGUGGUUUUGCUUGACAGUUUUUUCUGCCGGUAGCGUUUGGGAUUGGUUGGGUUUUUUUUAAUAAUUGUUCCAAGGUCAGUGCAGCAGCGUGCUGGGGUGAAGACUACAUACUGCUUGGAUGGUGUUUCUUUGUACCUACCGUCRUUUAUUAAUUUUCCAAGUGUUCUUUCACUGGUACUUGUAUCUUUGGAAAGAAUGGAUUUUUGGGUUUUUUGUGUGUUUUUUAUAUUUCUUAUGUUUUACCCUUUAUUUAAGAAAACAAACAAAAUAAACAACAAACUAUAGCCAUAUUAGAUCAGRCAAUACCCAGAAGAGAUCAGAUUCUUGUUUGUACAUUACAAAAAAAAAAAAGUAUGCAUAAUAAUAUAUUUGGUGUUAUUUUUGGUAAAUUUCCUCUUACAGAAGAUAUUUUUAAGUAAAAUAUGUACGGAUCUUUCUAUGGUAAUUAAGAUAUGUUGGGCUUUCUUAAAAACCAAAUUCCAGUGGAAUUAAAUGAUGAAUGUAAUUGAGAAAAGAAAACCCUAAGCCUAGCCRUGGAAGUGUAAGCAGCUUUAAAUUAUAAAGUAUGCUUCAAAAUGUGAUGCCCGACCACUUUGUAUUUCCACCUGCAAGAUAACUGCGUGUCGCCGCAUCACGGAGCGCGUUCCGGAGGGGGUGACCGGAGCGGACGGACGCCGGGACACCCUCCUCGCAGCUCCUCGUGCCAUGGGCUACUCCAAAGCUGGAUGCCGCGCAGGACCACAUGGUGAACGACCRGGCCGUGUCCGAAGGGCCGGGGGAGCAGGACAGCAGGGCGCCGCUCACAGCCGCURCAGCCUUUCCUGGCCCCACAACCGCCCGCACAGCCUGGCUUUGGUCACCGAUGCACAAAGCCACGGCUACGCUUACCUGUC
Long non-coding RNA from Nothoprocta perdicaria, 1119 nucleotides. RefSeq lists it as uncharacterized. Lineage: Eukaryota; Metazoa; Chordata; Aves; Tinamiformes; Tinamidae. The record is from RefSeq and is a predicted model, not a curated record. The transcript is spliced from 2 exons.